GCCAUGGUCAAGUCAUCUCAUGUCUCUUAGCUUCACUGUUCUCAGUUGUCAAAUACAUUUACAAAAUCACAGGCACACGAAAAGUAAUGCAAAAUACCAGACAUGGUAACUACAUGGGUAAAUACUUAUUUUAAAAAGAGUCAUAUUUAAAUAUAUUUAAAAGGGCAGCCCGGCGGUUUAGCACCACCUUCAGCCCAGGGUGUGAUCCUGGAGAUCCGGGAUGGAGUCCCAUGUCAGGCUCCCAGCAUGGAGCCAUGGAGCCUGCUUCUCUCUCUAAAUAAAAAAAAAAAAAUCUUAAAAAAUGAAUAUAUUUAAAAGAUUAUUAUUGAAAACAAAUAUAUUAACAAUGUAUUGUGAAUUUUAUAAUGUACAUGGAAGUAAAAUAUACAAUAAUAGUGAAAGGGCAGGAGGGAAGCAAUGGAUUCUUACAUAUGAAGUAUAAUCAUAGCACUUGAAGAUAGACUAUAAGCAAAGAUAUAUGUUAUAAAUUCUAAAGUAAUUACUGAAAUAAUAAAACAGAGGUGUAGCUAAAAACUGAGGUAAAGAGUAAUUAAAGGAUGCCUGAGUGGCUCACGGUUUAGCGCCGCCUGCAGCCCAGGGUGUGAUCCUGGAGACCUGGGAUCGAGUCCCGCGUCGGGCUCCCUGCAUGGAGCCUGCUUUUCCCUCUGCCUGUGUCUCUGCCUCUCUCUCUCUCUCUCUGUGUGUCUCUAUGAAUAAAUAAAUAAAAUCUUAAAAAAAAGAUAGAAUAUAAUAAAGAUCCAAUGUAAUAUCUCUCAAUGAAAUAGAAGACAGAAAAACAAGAGAAAAUCGAUGAAACCAAAAACUUAUUCUUUGAAAAUAUCAGUAAAAUUGAUAAACAUCUAGCCAGAUUGAUCUAGAAUAAAAAUAAAUAGACACACAUCACAAAUAUCAAGAAUGUGAGAGGUGAGGGGUGCCUAGGUGUCAGUUGGUUACACAUGAUCCCAGGGUCCUCAGAUUGAGUUCAAUGGUAGGGAGCCUGCUCCUCCCUCUUCCUCUGCUGCUCCCCUUGCCUGUGCUCUUUCACUCUGUCAAAUAAAUAAAUUAAAAAUCUUUUAAAAAAAAAAAAGAAUGUGAGAGGUGAAUAUUAUUAAUUAACUUCAUACCAACAGAUUUGACAAUUUAGAUGAAAUGGAUAAAUCUGAAAGAUACACAAAGUACAAAGACUUACUAUAGUGAUUUAAAUAGUGUCCCCCAAAUUAUAGUCUUUGCAGGUGUAAUUGGUUAAAGAUCUUGAGGUGAAAUCUUGGAUUUAGAUCCUAAAUCCAGUUACUUGUGUCUUUAUAAGAGAAAGGAGAGAUAAAUGUACACAUAGACACAGGAAAGAAAGACAUGAGAAGACCGAGGCAGAGAUUGAAGUUAUGCUGCCAGAAGCCAAGGAAUUCCAGGAACCACCAGCAGUUGGAAGAGGCAAGGAAGGGUGAAGUUGGAGGAAUUAUACUACCUGGUAUCAAGACUUAUUUGAAUGCUAUAGUGCCAAUGUGAUAGUGGCAUAAAGAUAGACAUAUGGAUUAAUGCAACAGAAUAGAGAUCCACUGAUUUUUUACAAAAGUAAUUCAUUGGAUAAUAGUGUUUCCUACAAAUGGUUUUGGAGCAAUCGGAUGUUCAUAUGCAAAAAUGUGAACUUGAAUCCCUAUCUCUUAUUAUAUGCAAAAGUUAACAAAAUGGAUUAUAGAUCUAAAUUUUAAAUGUAAAACUGUGAAGCUUUUGGAAUAAAACAGGAAAAAAAAGUCCAUGUGGUCUUGAGUUAGGCAGAUUUCGUAGAAAUGACACUGAAAGCAAGAUCUGUAAAAAAAUCAAUAAAUUAGACUUUAUCCCGAUUAAAUAUUUUUGCUUUUCAAAAGACACUAAGAGAAUAAUUAAAAACCCACAGAUAUGAAAAGGUGUUUGUACAUCAAAUAUCCAAUAAUAGAUUUUAUUCCAGAACAUAUGAAAAACUCUCCAGAUAUUAUUAUAAGAAGUCAAAUAAACUAAUAAACAGGCAAAAGAUUUUUACAUAAACUUCAUCAGAGAAAACAUAUGUACAGCAAAUCAGCAUUUGUCAUUAAUCACUAGGUAAUACAAAUUAAAACCACAAAACAUGCCACUACAUAUCUUAUUAGAGUAUCUAAAAUUACAAGGAAUGAAGACACCAAUUGUUGGCAUGGAUGUGGAAAAAUUAGAAAUCCAACAUCCAUGGGAUCCCUAGGCGACUCACUGGUUUAGCCCUUUGGCCCACGGCAUGAUCCUGGAGUCCCAGGACUCGUCCCACAUCAGGCUUCCUGUAUGGAGGCUGCUUCUUCCUCUGCCUGUGUCUCUGCCUCUCUCUCUCUGUGUGUGUCUCUCCUGAAUAAAUAGAUAAAUAAAAUCUUAAAAAAAAAAAAAGAAAAAAA
RNAcentral lists this long non-coding RNA (2390 nucleotides) under Canis lupus familiaris (dog). RNAcentral's name for it is "lncRNA (ENSCAFG00000053046.1)". Lineage: Eukaryota; Metazoa; Chordata; Mammalia; Carnivora; Canidae. The record is from RNAcentral.